This is a long non-coding RNA of Prinia subflava (tawny-flanked prinia), 2484 nucleotides long. RefSeq lists it as uncharacterized. The record is from RefSeq and is a predicted model, not a curated record. The transcript is spliced from 7 exons. Lineage: Eukaryota; Metazoa; Chordata; Aves; Passeriformes; Cisticolidae.
AAGGAAAACCUUGCAUCCACAGCGCGGCUCUGACCGCAGGCUGGAGUGCCUCGCAGUGCUUACAAAAGCAACUACAAAAAUAUUUUCAAGACCUUUAGCAGACUCGUGCGGGAUAGCUUAUCCACCUACCACUGCUGGGCUGACCAGCUCACAGAACCGGGGAGGAGGAAAGGUGCUGGUGAUGCAGACACUGCCGGAGGGGCACGCAAGGGUCAGGCUUUCAUCCCCUAUUUAGCAGUAAUUUGGUAUGUAAGGGCUGCAGGAGCCUUUGAAGCUCAGGGCUGCUGUUUUUAAAGGCUCCCAUCAACCAGCCCAUAGUGUAGCCGAAGCAGAAACAGCAGUGUAAUAGCAGACGCAGUGUUCUUUUUGCAGAGUCUGCAGUUCUCUGACGCGUCUGCUUGACUCUCCUUUCAUGGCGCACAAACUUCCCGUCAGGAACCUGUUAACAGGGACAGCAAGGAGCAGCACUGACAAGCAACAGCUUUGGAGGAAGGCACUCGUGUAUUUAAAAAGGAAAAACCACCACGAAGAAGCCCACAAAAAAGCCACAUAAUUUAUUUUUCUGGGAGCUUUGCCUCAUCUUCCAGGUUAAAGUCGCAGCUGGGAGCGUGUCUGGGAGAAGGGAGGAGCUUUUAAGAACCGGAGUAUUCCCAAUGCGUUUCCACUGGCUGGCCCUGGGAUCUGCAGUGCUCACCAUCACUACUGAGAGUACAGCCUUGCAAGACACUAGAAAUACUGACUCAGGAGCUUGGAUGGUGCCGUAAAGUUAAUGUAAUCAAACACUUCUGUUGUCUCAAUAAUGCUUCCACCUUGCUAUCAGACCCAGAUCUUGAAAGAUCCUAGUGAGAAAUGACUCUUCAUGUUACAAAUGCCUCCUCUGCUGUCCCUGCAACCUGUCUGGCAGAGCCUUUUGAGCUUAAAGGUGACACUCAGUGUAAUGGCUGUGGAAAGUUAAGCACCGUUUCAAUAACAGAAACUAAAAGCAGUCAGAGCAGAAGCAUUCAUUACAUGCAUGGAAAAAGCAGACAGUGACUCUCCACUUUAGUCCUUUGUCUUGGAAGUUCAGCAGUGAAUUGGAGAAACUUUCCACCUGCCCCAGCAUUGUGUGAAGUGCAAUGGAAUUGGUUACUGCAAAUUGAGCAGUUGCAAGAGCCCCUCUAUGGAGAGCCCAGGGGAUGCACUUUUCCUGGUCGUGGCCAGCAGAAACUUCAUGAGCAGAGGGCAGCUAGACUUUCAGCAGGCAUAAAAUGCAGGUAUAGCUGCUGAAAGGGCAGCCUAUUUCCGGUAUGUAGAUAACCCACUGGCUUCUUUCCUAUCUGUGUAUUCAGAUUUGCUUCCAUGGACGUCUAGAUCAGCUGGGGAGAUGGUUGCAGCCUGGUCAUUUUCCACAUGCAGGACUCUGAGGAACCAGGACUCUGAGAGUAUGUGGACUUUACCAGUCAAGACACAGGCACUCUGACCGAGUAUGAGCCUGUGUGGAUGGACCAGGAGAAAAGACUCCUUCAAUAAAAAAAGUGGAAAAGAUUACUACUGCUUAUUGCCUGCUCAUCUAGCUCUUGACAUGAACUGCAGGGCUCCAGGAUUGUGAAGAGAUGGAAAAAAGUUACUGGAGGAUUUCAGCUGUGAUCAGAUGAUGAAAACAAAUCUCAAGACAAGAUGAAAGACACUAAGUGUUUGAGUUACGCAUUUUGCCAAAGAGAAGAGGCUAUUUUGAUGGGCUGUUUAAUAGAAAUUUCUUCCUGUGAUCAUUCAACUGGAUGCUCACUCCAAACAGCCCAGAGGCUUUUUAUAUUUGACCUAAAUGUCUGGAUUUUUUCUUUUCUUCAGUAUAUCACAGAACAGAAAUCUGUAAGCUGAUUAUUGUUGCUUAAUUCACUUCUGAAUGCAAACAUCUUUGCAUAUUUCAGACACUGCUAUAUAGAGCUGAAAUCAGAAAAGCUAAAAGAGCUUGAGAGCUCAAUCUAAAUCCCAACUGUCUGGCUCCCUGGCCAAUGCCUUGUAUUAUACAAAGUGUGUAACCAUUCUACACCUUUGAUGUAAAACAACUCUCUUUUAAUGUACUGUAAUCUCUUAUUCCCUUUGUCUCUCAAAUAAUAAUCCUCUUGCUCAUGGUAAUCCUCAAAAUCACAUAUGCUAUUUAAAGCUUUUCUUUUGGAAAGUAUUCACACCCAUUUUUCUGGGCACUGGCAACUAAAUAUUACAGAAAACCUGAUUCUUCUGACUUUGACCAAGACAAUCUGAAUUUUUGUUUUGCACAGUUACUGCUUGGCUGGAACUGGAUCAACAAAAUGAGUGAACAAUUUCUAGUUGUUCAACAGAACCACAGUGUGCAGACUGUUCGUUUGGCCAAGGCAGAGGCACAAGAUGUAUUUGGGAGAGUUAACAAGGAACAAGUAAAAUGACAUUUUUAUUUGGGUUAUAGAACAGAAAAUGAAGUUUAGUUGUCUGGAAUGAUUUAAGAACAUGUUCUCCUGGACUAUUAAA